RNAcentral lists this ribosomal RNA (209 nucleotides) under uncultured Leptospira sp. RNAcentral describes it as "partial 16S ribosomal RNA". It matches the Rfam family "Bacterial small subunit ribosomal RNA", at positions 544 to 752 of the family's 1533-position model. Lineage: Bacteria; Pseudomonadati; Spirochaetota; Leptospiria; Leptospirales; Leptospiraceae. The record is from RNAcentral.
AUCGGAAUUACUGGGCGUAAAGCGCGCGUAGGCGGUUACGUAAGUUGGGUGUGAAAUCCCCGGGCUCAACCUGGGAAUUGCACUCAAAACUGCGUGGCUAGAGUGUGGGAGAGGAAGGUAGAAUUCCAGGUGUAGCGGUGAAAUGCGUAGAUAUCUGGAGGAAUACCGAUGGCGAAGGCAGCCUUCUGGCCUAAAACUGACGCUGAGGC